RNAcentral lists this transfer RNA (83 nucleotides) under Methanobacteriota archaeon. Its description in RNAcentral is "Euryarchaeota archaeon (groundwater metagenome) tRNA-Leu". It matches the Rfam family "tRNA". Rfam says of the family: Transfer RNA (tRNA) molecules are approximately 80 nucleotides in length. Their secondary structure includes four short double-helical elements and three loops (D, anti-codon, and T loops). The record is from RNAcentral. Lineage: Archaea; Methanobacteriati; Methanobacteriota.
GCGGGGGUUGCAGAGCCUGGAAAACGCGCAGGACUUAAGAUCCUGUCCUUAGUGGUCCGUCGGUUCAAAUCCGACCCCCCGCA